RNAcentral lists this ribosomal RNA (165 nucleotides) under Lingulaulax polyedra. RNAcentral's name for it is "Lingulodinium polyedra partial Bacterial large subunit ribosomal RNA". The stretch from base 1 to 115 matches the Rfam family "Bacterial large subunit ribosomal RNA", at positions 1927 to 2041 of the family's 2925-position model. Lineage: Eukaryota; Dinophyceae; Gonyaulacales; Lingulodiniaceae. The record is from RNAcentral.
ACGGCGGCUGUCUUGUUCACGGUCCUAAGGUAGCAAAAUUCCUUGACAGGUAAGUUCCGUCCAGCAUUAGCGGUGGAACGACUUCCUCACUGUCACUAGCUUGGUCUCAAGGAAAAGCCAAGCUUGAGAUCAGAGAAGUCUUCACCCAAGGUCUGGACAUUAAGA